Molecule: ribosomal RNA, 508 nt
Filed under: uncultured bacterium
Lineage: Bacteria
Description: partial 16S ribosomal RNA
Rfam family: Bacterial small subunit ribosomal RNA
Source: RNAcentral
GACGAACGCUGGCGGCGUGCUUAACACAUGCAAGUGGAGCGACGAACCAGGGCUUGCCCUGGGGCAGAGCCGCGAACGGGUGAGUAACACGUGGGUAACGUGCCCCGAUGACCGGGACAACCCGAGGAAACUCGGGCUAAUACCGGAUGUGGACCUCUCACAUCAGUGAGUUGUCUAAAGGUAGCUUCGGCUUCCGCAUUGGGAGCGGCCCGCGGCCCAUUAGCUUGUUGGUGAGGUAACGGCUUACAAGGCUUCGAUGGGUAGCUGGUCUGAGAGGACGAUCAGCCACACUGGGACUGAGACACGGCCCAGACUCCUACGGGAGGCAGCAGUGGGGAAUCUUGCGCAAUGCGCGAAAGCGUGACGCAGCAACGCCGCGUGGGGGAAGACGGCCUUCGGGUUGUAAACCCCUUUCAGGAGGGACGAAGGUCACACGGCUAAUAGCCGGCGUGACUGACGGUACCUCCAGAAGAAGCCCCGGCUAACUACGUGCCAGCCGCCGCAGUAA